GCUUUUUUUCAACUUAAUUGUAAAGAGGUGUGAAAAAAUUGAGUUAAAAUCAAUGGAUCAUUCAUUAAUUAUUGAGGUUUAAAUCUGCUAUAAGAAUUACUUGGAAUUAUUUAGAAUUUGGUUAGGAUAUGUUUAGGAUUUGAUUAGGAUUUGAUUAAGAUUUAUUUAGGUUUGUUUAGGAUUUGGUUUGAGGUUGGUUAGGAUUUAACUAGGAUUUGGUUAGGUUUUGUUUAGGAUUUGAUUAGAGUUUGGUUAGGAUUUUUUUAAGAUUUGAUUAGGAUUUGAUUAGGAUUUGUUUAAGAUUUGAUUUUGAUUUAUUUAGGAUUUGAUUAGGACUUGGUUAGGAUUUUUUAGGAUUUGGUUAGAGUUUGUUUAGGAUUUGUUUAGAAUUUGACUAGGAUUUAUUUAGGAUUUGAUUAGGAUUUGUUUAAGAUUUGAUUAUGAUUUGAUUAGGAUUUGAUUAGGAUUUGAUUAAAGUUUGUUUAGGAUUUGACUAAGAUUUGAUUAGGAUUUGUUUAGAAUUUGAUUAGAUUUUGGUUAGGAUUUUUUUAGGAUUUGGUUAGAAUUUAUUUAGUAUUUGACAAGGAUUUAGUUAAGAUUUAUUUAGGAUUUGAUUAGGAUUUGAUUAGGAUUUAGUUAAGAUUUAUUUAGGAUUUGAUUAAAAUUUGAUAAGGAUUUAGUUAAGAUUUAUUUAGGAUUUGAUUAGGAUUUGAAAAGGAUUUAGUUAAGAUUUAUUUAGGAUUUGAUUAGAAUUUGAUAAGGAUUUAAUUAAGAUUUAUUUAGGAUUUGACAAGGAUUUAAUUAAUAUUUAUUCAAGAUUUGAUUAGGAUUUGUUAGGAUUUAAUUAGGAUUUGUUUGGGAUUUGAUUAAGAUUUAAUUAAGAUUUUGAUUUUAAUAUUUUAUUAAGAUUUCUAUUUUAGUAUAUUUUUGAAUUUCUAUGUUAUUUCUUUAUGAUUUCUUUAAAGGGUCUUUAGGAAUACUUUGUGUUUGUUAUAUAAUUCUUUUACAAUUUUGAUUGAAUUUUAUUGAUAUUUAAUUAUACUUGUUAAUCUUUAAUUUUAAUUUUUUUUAAAAUCUAUUAGAAUUGUUAAGACUUGUUGUUACAAUUUUACUUUUAUCUUCCACAAAUAGAUAUCUGGUGCAUU
RNAcentral lists this long non-coding RNA (1145 nucleotides) under Physcomitrium patens. RNAcentral describes it as "long non-coding RNA (PPAT_LNC001438)". Lineage: Eukaryota; Viridiplantae; Streptophyta; Bryopsida; Funariales; Funariaceae. The record is from RNAcentral.